GAAAGCCGGGUGAUGGGAAACUAUCAUGCCUGGUUUGGGGCGGGGGAAAAGACGGAGAUAAAAUCAAAGUCUUACCUAUCGUCAU
RNAcentral lists this non-coding RNA (85 nucleotides) under Ruminiclostridium sufflavum DSM 19573. The record is from RNAcentral. Lineage: Bacteria; Bacillati; Bacillota; Clostridia; Eubacteriales; Oscillospiraceae.